ACUCAUAUUGAGCGUCUGGGUCUUCCCUCCGUCGGCUCCUCCCGUGCAAGUUUCCAACAAAUGGCGCCCGAACAGGGACCCUGCCGGUCAGGGACUCGGUGAUUAAAAACUCAGGAGUCGACAGAGUGCUAGAGACAGCUGGUCCUGCUGUGCUAAAGGCGACGAGACACAAAAGGGGGUCUACGUGCCAGAGUUACAGAGGAGGUGGAGAGGACACAAACAAAGGGGGUCCGUGCCCAGGACGAGACGGGGUCCUGCCAGAAAGUCUCGCCGCAGGUCUUGCAAAGGUUGCAACGGACCGGUUUGGGUUCCCAGCAGAUUUACGAAACCUGUGAUAGACGAAGGAGCGACUGUGGACAAAGACUAUGCUCGGAAUCGGACAGACAACUCUGCGCAAAAUUGUCCUAUUGAUCAUGAUAAUUGCUGAAGGGUCUACAAUGUUGUCUCAGAUUGAUACUCAACAGAAUAUGUGGGUUACAUGGGCUAACGAAACUAACCAGCGUACCUUUUGUUUGUCUCUAGCCUCAGGAAGCGAUCCCUUCCGGACGUGUCUAUUUGGGGUGCCUAUAGGAACUCCAAAGGAAUUGAUCAAGCUGUUAGGCCCGUACUCAACUUCGCUUACUCUCUUAAGUGGGUCCUUCUCGAGCAACCUCUCAGACGGAGUGGUUGCUGCACUGCAACAUCUUAAUAUAUCGUUGCCAUGGGAUCCACAAGAAUUAGAUUUGUUAGGGUCAGUAGCAGUAGGAAACACUAGUGAUAAUUGGACACAAACCUGUUUUAUACUAAAUAAAGGUAAACAAAAUAAGACUCA
This is a long non-coding RNA of Dromaius novaehollandiae (emu), 811 nucleotides long. RefSeq lists it as uncharacterized. The transcript has 2 exons. The record is from RefSeq and is a predicted model, not a curated record. NCBI's taxonomy places the organism in Eukaryota, Metazoa, Chordata, Aves, Casuariiformes, Dromaiidae.